Molecule: ribosomal RNA, 457 nt
Filed under: Armadillidae sp. 3 SK2011
Lineage: Eukaryota; Metazoa; Arthropoda; Malacostraca; Isopoda; Armadillidae
Description: partial 16S ribosomal RNA
Rfam family: Bacterial large subunit ribosomal RNA
Source: RNAcentral
UCAAAAACAUCGCUUGAAAAAUUUUCAAGUAGAGCCUGUUCACUGAAGAUUGAAGAACCGCAGUAUCCUGACUGUGCUAAGGUAGCAUAAUCAUUCGUUAUUUAAUUGAUGAAUUGUAUGAAAGGCCUGACGAGGGUUAACCUUUUUUUCUAUUAAAUGAUAAUUUUAUUUAAAAGUAAAAAAGCUUUUUUCCGUCAAAGGGACGAUAAGACCCUAGAACCUUAUAAUAAAAAUUUUAUUGGGGAGAUAAAGAUCUAGACAAACUUUAAAAAAACCUUCUGAAGGAAUAGCUUAAGUUUUGAAAAAAAAAGGUACUCUAGGGAUAACAGCAAAAUCUCUCUAAAGAGAUCUUAUCGACAGAGAAGCUUUUGACCUCGAUGUUGAAUUGAAAUUUCCCCUUAAAGCAGUUCUUAAGAGAGAAGGUCUGUUCGACCUAUAAUAUUUCACGUGAUCUGAG